This 441-nucleotide ribosomal RNA is filed under the name uncultured Neocallimastigomycetes. RNAcentral describes it as "LSU rRNA". It matches the Rfam family "Eukaryotic large subunit ribosomal RNA", at positions 107 to 542 of the family's 3401-position model. Lineage: Eukaryota; Fungi; Neocallimastigomycota; Neocallimastigomycetes. The record is from RNAcentral.
GCUCAAAUUUGAAAUCUUCAAGGUUUUACCUUGACGAAUUGUAGUUUAAAGAAGUGUUUUCUGUUGAAGUUUUGGUAAAAGUUCUUUGGAAUAGGACAUCAUAGAGGGUGAGAAUCCCGUAUUUGACCAUUAUUUCCAGCUGUGUGAUACACUUUCAAAGAGUCGGAUUGUUUGGGAAUGCAGUCCAAAAUGGGUGGUAAAUUUCAUCUAAAGCUAAAUAUUGGCGAGAGACCGAUAGCGAACAAGUACCGUGAGGGAAAGAUGAAAAGAACUUUGAAAAGAGAGUUAAACAGUACGUGAAAUUGUCAAAAGGGAAGCGUUUGACACCAGUGUUGUUUUCUCGAAAAUCAAUUAAAAAGAGUUGGAUUUUGUGUUGUAUUGACCUUAACAGCUUUCUUCACUCUUUUCCUGCUUUUUUUAAUGCACUUUUCAUUUAACAAG